UGGGGAAUCUUGGACAAUGGGCGCAAGCCUGAUCCAGCCAUGCCGCGUGAGUGACGAAGGCCUUAGGGUUGUAAAGCUCUUUUGGCGGGGACGAUAAUGACGGUACCCGCAGAAUAAGCCCCGGCUAACUUCGUGCCAGCAGCCGCGGUAAUACGAAGGGGGCUAGCGUUGUUCGGAAUUACUGGGCGUAAAGCGCACGUAGGCGGAUUUGUCAGUCAGGGGUGAAAUCCCGAGGCUCAACCUCGGAACUGCCUCCGAUACAGCAAGUCUCGAGUCCGGAAGAGGUGAGUGGAAUUCCUAGUGUAGAGGUGAAAUUCGUAGAUAUGCGGAGGAACACCGAUGGCGAAGGCAGUCCCCUGGGCCUGUACUGACGCUCAUGCACGAAAGCGUGGGGAGCAAACAGGAUUAGAUACCCUUGUAGUCCCUGAGCGGGCUGGCAAGGCGCAU
RNAcentral lists this ribosomal RNA (447 nucleotides) under uncultured bacterium. Its description in RNAcentral is "bacterial SSU rRNA". It matches the Rfam family "Bacterial small subunit ribosomal RNA", at positions 355 to 825 of the family's 1533-position model. The record is from RNAcentral.